This is a long non-coding RNA of Rana temporaria (common frog), 303 nucleotides long. RefSeq lists it as uncharacterized. Lineage: Eukaryota; Metazoa; Chordata; Amphibia; Anura; Ranidae. The transcript has 3 exons. The record is from RefSeq and is a predicted model, not a curated record.
AUUCCACACAGGAAGGUCACACCAUCCCCCACCAUCAUCAGAGUGGAGACCUGAGAGAUUCUAAAGUUGAGGUUGAAGAAGAGUUUAUAAAGGUGGAUGAUGAGUAUGGAAUUAUGAAGGCGUUUUCUGAAGGACACAAUGAUCUCUAUAAGGAUAUCACGAUGGAGCCACCUAAUAAUAGAAACUCGCCAGAGAGAUCUCCUCAUAGUCUGCAUUCCCAGGAUUCCACACAGGACGAUCACAACUACUCUCAAGAUGUUCAGAGUGGAAACCUCGGGGAUGAUAAUAUUGAUGUUAAAGAAG